CAGCAGCCACGGGAAUACGGAGGGUGCAAGCGUUAAUCGGAAUUACUGGGCGUAAAGCGCACGCAGGCGGUCUGUCAAGUCAGAUGUGAAAUCCCCGGGCUUAACCUGGGAACUGCAUUUGAAACUGGCAGGCUAGAGUCUUGUAGAGGGGGGUAGAAUUCCAGGUGUAGCGGUGAAAUGCGUAGAGAUCUGGAGGAAUACCGGUGGCGAAGGCGGCCCCCUGGACAAAGACUGACGCUCAGGUGCGAAAGCGUGGGGAGCAAACAGGAUUAGAGACCCGUGUAGUCCCUGUCUCUUAUAA
RNAcentral lists this ribosomal RNA (301 nucleotides) under uncultured bacterium. Its description in RNAcentral is "partial 16S ribosomal RNA". It matches the Rfam family "Bacterial small subunit ribosomal RNA", at positions 509 to 809 of the family's 1533-position model. The record is from RNAcentral.